UACGUAGGGGGCAAGCGUUGUCCGGAUUUACUGGGCGUAAAGAGCGCGCAGGCGGCCAGGUCAGUCGAAUGUGAAAGCCCCCGGCUCAACUGGGGAGGGUCGUUCGAUACUGCCUGGCUCGAAGGUAGGAGAGGGAAGUGGAAUUUCAGGUGUAGUGGUGAAAUGCGUAGAUAUCUGAAGGAACACCAGUGGCGAAGGCGACUUUCUGGCCUAUUCUUGACGCUGAGGCGCGAAAGCUAGGGGAGCGAACGGG
RNAcentral lists this ribosomal RNA (253 nucleotides) under uncultured bacterium. RNAcentral describes it as "partial 16S ribosomal RNA". It matches the Rfam family "Bacterial small subunit ribosomal RNA", at positions 524 to 776 of the family's 1533-position model. The record is from RNAcentral.